RNAcentral lists this ribosomal RNA (652 nucleotides) under Calliostoma iridium. RNAcentral describes it as "partial 12S ribosomal RNA". The stretch from base 303 to 633 matches the Rfam family "Bacterial small subunit ribosomal RNA", at positions 929 to 1367 of the family's 1533-position model. Lineage: Eukaryota; Metazoa; Mollusca; Gastropoda; Trochida; Calliostomatidae. The record is from RNAcentral.
GACAAACGGGUCGAGUUAAGAUUUGUUUGGUAAAAAAGGAGGUUAAUAUGUAGAUGGUUUGUAUUUGAGAAUCUAAUAUUCUUGUAGGGGUGAAAUCUGUAUAUGGGUAGUAGGGUUUAUUAUUCUCUUUUGUUGAGGCCUCGAAAGCUUAAUAUUAGACCGGGAUUAGAUACCCCGUUAUUAUAUUCUGUAAACUUUGAUUAUAUUGAUUUACUUGGGGAUUACGUGUUAUCAUGUAUAUAUUUGUAUUAUCUUGGUAGGUGGCUUAAAACUCAAAAAACUUGGCGGUGCUUCAAUUCUUUCCGGGGGAACCUGUCCUUUAAUCGAUGGUCCACGAUUUAACUUACCUCUUUUUGAAUAUAGUAUGUAAUAUUAUUAUACAGUUUGUAUACCGUCGUCGUCAGAUUACCUUUGAGAGGUAGAGAAGUUAUCUGGAGGAGUGUUCAGAUACACAUGUUUGUAUUUUGGUAUACAGAUAGUUUGUAUUUGUGAUUCUAAACGUCAGAUCAAGGUGCAGCUUAUGUAGGGGGAGAGAUGGGUUACAAUAAUUAUUUGUUAUACAGAUUUUAUUAUGUAAUUAGUAAGUUGAAGGCGGACUCGGAAGUAAUAAAUGAGUAGUGAGCUUUUAUGAAUUUUUAGUGCUGAGGUGCGU